GUAGGGAAUAUUGGGCAAUGGUCGGAAGACUGACCCAGCCAUGCCGCGUGCAGGAAGACGGCCCUCUGGGUUGUAAACUGCUUUUAUCUGGGAAGAAAAAGGCCAUGCGUGGCAAAUUGCCGGUACCAGAUGAAUAAGCACCGGCUAACUCCGUGCCAGCAGCCGCGGUAAUACGGAGGGUGCGAGCGUUGUCCGGAUUUAUUGGGUUUACAGGGUGCGUAGGCGGCUGAUUAAGUCAGCGGUGAAAGACUUCGGCUUAACCGUAGCAGUGCCGUUGGUACUGGUUGGCUUGAGUGUCGGAGGGGUACAUGGAAUUGAUGGUGUAGCGGUGAAAUGCAUAGAUACCAUCAGGAACACCGAUAGCGAAGGCAGUGUACUGGCCGACAACUGACGCUGAUGCACGAAAGUGUGGGGAUCGAACAGGAUUAGAUACCCGAGUAGUCC
This 444-nucleotide ribosomal RNA is filed under the name uncultured bacterium. Its description in RNAcentral is "partial 16S ribosomal RNA". It matches the Rfam family "Bacterial small subunit ribosomal RNA", at positions 354 to 796 of the family's 1533-position model. The record is from RNAcentral.